This is an unclassified non-coding RNA of 316 nucleotides. Its record names the gene 7SK. It matches the Rfam family "7SK RNA". From Rfam's summary of the family: 7SK was discovered as an abundant small nuclear RNA in the mid-70s but a possible function has only recently been suggested. Two independent studies have found that 7SK RNA binds the CDK9/cyclin T complex (known as elongation factor P-TEFb). The record is from Ensembl.
GGAUGUGAAGGCAAUCUGGUUGCAACAUCUGUCACCCCAUUUGAUUACCAGGGUUGAUGUGGCUGAUCUAGUUGCUAGGUGGUGCCGUGCUUCCUCCCUCGCUGCUCCAUGUAUGACCCUCCUGAAGCCACAUGUUUUGCUGAAGAGGUAGAGAAGGACCAUUCUUUAGUCAAGAGUAUCUGAGUAGCAAUGCUCCCUUGCUAGGACCUCUAAAUAAGUUCUCAGGGUCCAUUUAUAGGAGAACAUACAGUAGACAAACUUUCAAGACUCCAGACAUGAGCAAAAGAGGCACUACCUGUGGCUGUAUUCCCUUUUU